GGCACCCGCGGAUUUUUUUUGGUGUGACCUCUGACAUGUAUAUAGGUGCCUGUUUGCAAUAUAAUUCAGGUCAUAUUAUGCAUCAGACCUUUGUUUAUCUAAGGGAAGGAAAACGUUAUCAGAAAAUAUUCAAAAUGUUACCACAUAUAACUGAAUUCCUGAACCAACUCCCAUCAGCAACCGUCCAGCAUCAAGCCACCAAGCUCUCUUUUGACAGGCACAAGUAUGUAAGUUGAAGAGAACAAGGGAAAGGCAAUGAGGGGGUCACAGAAAGAUAGAGCUCGUAAAUGAUGAUGUAGACAAAGGUGAAUCCAACAUAUAAGCAGUGGGUGCACAAACUUGGACUUUACCCAUGUAUGUGGAAAAUUUUAAGGAAAACAUAUAGUAUAUACUUUGUUUUUUUUUCCUAGUGAAUAUAUACUUUAAAAGGCAGCCACUGCCUUUAAGUUCUAUAUUAAUUUAUAGAUGGUGAAGACGACGUGCAACCACCUUUUCAAGCACUUUAGUCAAUGUCACGUAAUCGUCGAAUGAGUUCCUACUGUUAUUGUCCCAGUAGAUUCUAAUGCAACGGGACUGAGCUAAUCAGAUAAUCGACAUGCUAUAGGCUAAAGACAUGUUACAGCCAUUGAUUAUAUUUUCCAAUAGCUUCUGCUGCAACUUGACUGGGUUAAUCAGAUGAUCAAUAUGCUAUGGGCUUAACACAUGUUGCACGGCCUGACUGGAAGCGAUAUGAAUAGAUUGAAUUGGAGAGUACAUGGGGGGGGGGGAGG
This 770-nucleotide long non-coding RNA is filed under the name Nicotiana tabacum (common tobacco). RNAcentral's name for it is "long non-coding RNA (NTAB_LNC016265)". The record is from RNAcentral. Lineage: Eukaryota; Viridiplantae; Streptophyta; Magnoliopsida; Solanales; Solanaceae.